This 252-nucleotide ribosomal RNA is filed under the name uncultured bacterium. RNAcentral describes it as "partial 16S ribosomal RNA". It matches the Rfam family "Bacterial small subunit ribosomal RNA", at positions 524 to 776 of the family's 1533-position model. The record is from RNAcentral.
UACGGAGGAUGCGAGCGUUAUCCGGAUCUAUUGGGUUUAAAGGGUGCGCAGGCGGAUUUUUAAGUCAGCGGUCAAAUCGUGGGGCUCAACCCCAUCCAGCCGUUGAAACCGGGCGACUUGAGUGCAGAAGAGGACAGUGGAACUCCAUGUGUAGCGGUGGAAUGCGUAGAUAUAUGGAAGAACACCAGUGGCGAAGGCGGCUGUCUGGUCUGCAACUGACGCUGAGGCUCGAAAGCAUGGGUAGCGAACAGG